AAACAGAUAGCUUUAUAAUGUCACACUUUACAAUCAACAUCGACUUAUCUUCAGGGCAGGCAUGCAAAUUCAGGUCCAUAUAUUUUCUCGAAACAGAUCUUCGAAUUAAUUUGACCAAAAAUAGUAAGAUUCCAGAAUCAUCUUCACAGCUUUUUAUAUUGUUCAAAGGAAGUAACUGCCAAAGGAAUCCUCAACCACAGAAACUUUAGGGUGCCCCUUUUAGCUACUACAUAAUCACCUUCACAAUAACUGACUAAUAUAGCUUGCCGGAAGAAAACAAAUAAUCAAAAUCCUCUGAGAACUAUGACCAUGUCUAAAUGUUCCGACAAAAAUGGAUUAACCAUACAAGUGUACUACCAGGAUUGGACUUGUAACUACAGAUUUCCAAGCAGACAAAUUGCCUCCAAAUAAGAUCAUCACUUUUUAGUUUUGAUCAGAAAAAAAUAGCACCAGUCUUGAAUGGAACGGAGAAACCAUCACCAAUGACUAAUCCUAAACAUGACCACCACAUGCUUCAAUUUCUCUGGUUUUAAUAUGCCAAAAUUUUUCAUAUUAUUCAUAUUACAGAUAAAGGGGUCGGACAUCGGUGGUAAUGGAAGCAAACCAACUGCACAUAUUGAAAAUUCCAUAAAUUGCAAUUAGUACAAGGUUCCUAACACAAACACCAUUAAACAGGAAAAUCACAGGAUCCGUACCUCAAACCGAGCAGGUAAGUAAUCUGUAGUUCAUGUACUAGCAUAAAAUUAAUCCGCAGGGAAGGCAGUCAAAAAGAGCUCCUUUAAUCCUCAUGAAUAAAAACUGGAACUAUAGCACCGCCCUCUUUAUCUCAAAACUUUUAGCACAUUUGUUCCAAUUUUUUAAAAAGCCAAAAAGCACUGCAUGGCCCUUUAGGUAACACCCAACCAUCCUCAGUUCAUGUACUAGCAUAAAAUUAAUCCGCAGGGAAGGCAGUCAAAAAGAGCUCCUUUAAUCCUCAUGAAUAAAAACUGGAACUAUAGCACCGCCCUCUUUAUCUCAAAACUUUUAGCACAUUUGUUCCAAUUUUUUAAAAAGCCAAAAAGCACUGCAUGGCCCUUUAGGUAACACCCAACCAUCCUCAUAUAAUCUGAAGAGUACGUCUUGACGGAAUCGAGCAAAUUAACAUCAUGGUGAUUUGAAAGGUCUGAACAAACCUAAGAAAACCAUCUCAAAUCCUGUUUACAUGUUCCGAUAGUACUUGACGUUAUCAUGAAAUAAACAGAUCUGAAACAAAAAUUGCAUAAUUGCAAGCAGCCGAAAUGUCUUGAACUACCAAGCUUCAAAACUUGAAAGGAACAGAACAAUCCUGUACUCUUUAGGCCAUUGACCAAUUUCAGGACACAAACUUCUGUUUAUCUACCAUUGAUCAUUCACAAGAUAUCUUAACCUACAUGAAAAAUUCAUCCCACGAACAGAAAUUGGGGCAAAACAACUCGGCCGUGCAAUCUUAACAGAGUAUAUUGCCAAAGCAGAAAAUCACGAUUAGCCAUAAACAAAUCAAAACUAGGGUACCAUUCAGAAAACUAACGCAACAGCAGAGACGAAUCGCCGAAAAUAGACACCCCAAACCGAACGGAUCAAGCAGCGCCGAAAACAGACCCCCAAACCAAAUUGAAUAGAACCGAUCGAGUAUUCACCUGACGAACAAAGGGCAGAGAACGAGGUGAGAUCGAAAUUGAUUGCUCCUUACCUACUGACUUACCAGCCACCCGCGGCGGGAGAGACGGGGGAGGAACAAACCACGCGAGAAGAGAAGGAAGCCAUGGAAGAGAGGCAGGGGGAUCGGGAUGGAUUUAUAGCGGAGAGCCUCCCAGGAGGAAACCGAGUCGGUGGGCGAGAGAGAGAGAGAGAGGCGG
RNAcentral lists this long non-coding RNA (1874 nucleotides) under Oryza brachyantha (malo sina). RNAcentral's name for it is "long non-coding RNA (OBRA_LNC003040)". The record is from RNAcentral. Lineage: Eukaryota; Viridiplantae; Streptophyta; Magnoliopsida; Poales; Poaceae.